RNA transcript from Loxodonta africana (African savanna elephant), 6484 nucleotides. It is a transcript of the gene named myomegalin, with no coding region annotated. The transcript has 8 exons. NCBI's taxonomy places the organism in Eukaryota, Metazoa, Chordata, Mammalia, Proboscidea, Elephantidae. The record is from RefSeq and is a predicted model, not a curated record.
CCCUUUCUCCUUCCCCAUUCUGAUACAUAAUAAAAACAAUUCUCGUCUUUCAGGAUCUGGCCCGUGCCUUGGCACAGGCCUCCUGGGAGAGUUCAUUGUUCUAGUCCACGCUUCCCGUUUUCUUUCGGUCCUCUCCCUUUUGGGCCCACCCUUUCCCGUUCCCCCUACACCGAGCCCCCGACCCCGCCGACCCCACAGACCCUGCUGACCCCACCGACCUCGUCCAACGCAGCCGCGCUGAGCGCCAGGAGCAGAGCCGCGCAGACCGCGCUCUCGGCUUUCCCGGUUGCCCCGCCCCACGGGACACUGCGUGCUUCGAAAUCGAUGAACCAAAAUAAAGGCUUUCAAAAAAGAACUUCUCCCUUUGAAAAUCUUUCAUGAACCUGAGAUCUUCAAAGGACUAAAAGUAUAAACAUGACUAUGUAUCGAUUCAAGAGGUCCUAAUUGAGCGCCCUGGUGUGUGCGCCAGCAGACCCUGUUCUCGGCUGGAGGACACAAGAGCGACCAUCACCUCGACCCCUGCCCUCGUGGAGCUCAGGCGCUGGACAGAGGAGGAAUCAGAAGAUGGAAGCAUCACACUCGCCCCGAAAGUGGGUCGACAGAAGUAGACUGCCGGGUCCUUCUUCCUACUCUGUCUUCAUCUGGAAGCUCAUCUGAAACCUGUCCAACAUGGGUGACCCUGCUGGUAUCUGAAUAUUGGUGGCAUAGCUUCCAGCAUCACAGCAACACGUAAGCCCUCAAAGUACAACAAACUAACAGACACAUGGGGGAACAUACAUUUUAGGAGACAGAAGAGUGUUCGUCAUGAGAAAAUGCUCUAACUGAAGGCUGAGAUGCAUCAGCUCUUAGAGAAGAAGGGGACUGCUGAGAGCGGAGUGAAGGAGCAGAAGACACAGCCCAAGGAAAUAGGAUUCUCCUCUGUGUCCCAGAGCGGCACCUGGGUGACCUGUUCCGGAUGAGCAACUCUGGGCCUCAGGCAAAUUUCAGCUUCUCAGAAAACAACCAGCACCUGUGCUUGCUGCUGGCACAAAACGGGCAACACUGCCAAGAUCUCCAAGAGAAAUGAUGGCAUCAGGAAUAAUAGUUCUGCUCUGGCCAACCAGCUGGAAAAACAGAGAGAAUGUCAACAAGUUGGUCUUAUAAACUCACCAUGACCAAAGUAAUGAGUGAUUAUCUGUAUUCUUUUUGAUAAGUUAAAUGCUUUAUGGACUGCAGUACUCAUCCCAACAUUAAAGUAAAUUUCAAUACUUAGCAUAUUUCUAGAAAGGUGAAAAAAAAAUUUUACCAUCAGUUUACAGGUGGGGAAACUGAGGUACAAAGUAGCAAAAUGACAGGCCUGAGUUUGCAGUGGCAGAGUAGAGUGUUCUGGGGCUAAUAUCCAGGUCUACUGAUUCCUGCUACAGACACCUAACUUCUUUGUCUCUCUGAGGAACAAGAUGAACUUGUACACUCUCUUCUCCUCUUCUCUAUAACAAAUAGUAGUCCUGUUGGGCAGGCUAUGACAUAUUCUAAAUUAGUUCAAUCAUUUUAAACUCUUUUGAGUUCAUAGGGCAAAGCACUAUGCUAGUUAGUUACACAAUGUGAUAAGGAAGUGAUAGUAUACAGUGGUUAAAGGACCAUCGAGACUUCUGUUGCCAACUGAGCCUUGGCUAUCUGUAGAAAAAACAUGGAUAGGUCGCUGCCUGGAGCGAGUGGUCUCUUUCUCAUGAGUUCAGAGAAGUUAAUUUUCCCUCUGUGGAUAUCACCUUCCCCUGCCUGAUACAGGCCAGAGUAAACGCAGAGAUUGAGGGCAUUUAAAGAAAACACAGAAAAUCUCUAUUAGUUAGUUAAUGCUGUGUUACAAAGCAUCCCCAAACUUAGUGGCUUAAUACAACAAAAAUUAUCUAUUAGCUCCCAGGUUUUCUGUAUGUCAGGAACUAGGGAGCAGCUUGGCUGGGCGACUGUAGCUUGAGGCAUCUCAUAGGGUUGCAGUUUGAUGGCCAAGGCUGCAGUUAUACAAAAGUUGGACUGGGACUAAGAGUGUCCACUUUCAAGGGUUCACUCUCAUGCCUGGCGAGAUUGUGCCGGCUGUAGGUAGGACUCCCUUCUUCUCCAUGUGGGUCUCAUCACUGGCUUGCUUGAGUGUGCUUGGCAUGGCAGCUGGCUUCCCCAGUGCAAGGGACCCAAUGUGACUUUACAGUAUAGCUCCAAUUGUAAUCCAGUACUACACAAUUCAUUCUAACUUUUCCCAUUUCCAUUUUUGUACCUUCCUUUUCUGUCAGUGAGAAAACUCCCAUUAUUUUCAAUACACUAUUUUGAAAAUACAUGCUUGAAUAUGUUUUGAAAAUAUUUACUUACUUGCUUGUAAAAUGGUAAUAGUAAUAGUAGCAUCAGAACCUAACUUCAGAGGGGAUAAUGACCAGAAUCAGCCCAAAGCUGGUCCCUCAGAGGUAGGGGUCAGAGAUACCUUCAUUCUCCAAUCUUUUUACCAAUUCUGACACCAGCCGUCCCUCCCAUGGCACUCACUACUUCUGUUCUGGUUUGAUAAUUUAUUGUAACGGUCACACAGAGCUCACAGACUGUACUUACAGUUAAGUGGUUUUUGAAGGGAGUAACAGGGAAAAAAAAAAAAUUUUUUUUUUUUUAUUUUUUUAACAGGGUACAACUCAGGGCCAGGAUCAACAGGCUAAAACUCAGAAUCAGGAUCAGGGAGCAUUUAGGCAAAGCAUACCUUCUUCAGUGCAGGACAGCUCUCUCAGCUCCCCUUGGCACCCUUCAGGACAGGCUCCUCUUGGCCCUGCCAUCUGUUGGCCCAGAUCUACUGCUGGGCCCGCACCUUCUGGGCCUGUUGCCCUCUUCAGUGUUAUAGCGCUUGACCUGUGUUACAGCUCUUUGGGGAAGUUUUUUCCCUCCUCUCUCUCUGCUUCUUUUUUCUUCUGAAUUUUUUCUUCCUGCUGCUUCUCUUCCUGUUUCUUUCUGACUGAAAAACCUCUGUGGAUUUGGCUGCUUGUAUAAACAAACUCCUCACCAAUUUCAAGGCACGGAUCUUCCACUAGGGCCAGGAACUGAUCAGCCUCCUCUAGAAGGACACUUUGUUUGCAUAGACUAUUGACUAAUUCCUGCAAGGUGCAUACCAGUAACAGGGCAGGCUCCAGACCAGGACCAGACAAAAAGUAUCAAACCAGCUUGUUAACAGCUCACCCAGGAAAUGCCACAAACCCUCUGGGGUAGAAAACUAGGGCAAAGGUAACUCCUCCGGGCUUAGGGGAAAAUCUCCCAAGCUGUUUUUCCAAAGAACCAAGGUGAAAAGCCACUUAAAAGAUCUCAUUUCACCACAAUGUUCAACCCCCGCAUGUAGUCGAUCUCUGACCCCUCUGGGUUGCCUCUGCCACACUGCUGUGACAUGAGGACUGCCCUACUGGAGCCUGACCAAUGAUUUUGGAUUGAGUUAGGAAGAAAGGGAGGGAGGGAGGAAUGAAGAAAGGAAAGUAGAAAGGAAGGAAGCCAAUCUUUCCCUUGAGUUGCUUUGAAUACACUACUGAGGAGAAUAGUAGUUGUAUCACUCUGUAAAUUUAUAUUUCAGUACCUGUCCUGUGACAGAAAAAUUAAUUUGCUGUGGACCGGCAUUUAUAUUCAGAUCUUUCAGCCAUGGACUCAUUUGUCCAAAUGGAUUCUUGGAAGCACAAAUAUAUAAAACAUAUGUAUUGAAUGAUGAGAGAAUAAGACCUGGAGCCCCUGUUUUCCUCAUUUAAGGCUUUACAUGCUCUGAAACCUUGUGGUACGGUCUAAAGACAGUGUCAUGGAUUGAAUUGUGUCCCCUAAAACUAUGUGUCAACUAGGUUAGGCCAUGAUUCCCAGUAUUGUGUGUUUGUCUUCCAUUUUGUGACUGACGUAAUUUUCCCAUACAUUGUAAAUCCUAAUCUCUGCCUGUGGUUAAGGAGUCAAGAGAUAAAAGGAAAGGAAAGUGGAGGGGGGGACCUCAUACCACCAAGAAAGCAGUGCCGGGAGCAGUGACAUCCUUUGGACCUGAGGUUCCUUCGAGAGAAGCUCCUCGACCAGGGGAAGUUUUAUGACAAGGACCUUGCCCCGGAGCUGACAGAGAGAAAGCCUUUCCCUCAAGCUGGCACCCUGAAUUCAGACUUGUGAACUACUAGACUGAAAUAUCAUUCCUUAAUUCAGAAUCAGGCUCGAGAGUUGACUCACCUAAGGCAGAAGAUGAGGAUUGGGAGAGCUGUCUCUUCCCUUCUCAUCCAGCACGUCAAGAACACAAUAAAGACCUUUGAGGAGCUACUCAGCAGCAAUAGCAUUGGCCACUACAUGGAACAGCACUUUUGUGAGCAGCUGGCUAGGGGAAGCCAGCUGGCAGAGAGCCUCGCCAGCAAAUUCAGCACUGUAUCUUAAGGAAGAUGCAUAAAACGGACAAAAUGAAUGGAGUCCCAGAGACCACGCGGGAUUCGAGGUCCCAGACACAGCCCCAGAUCUUCUCCAGCAGCCAUGCCCAGACCGCCAUGCCUGGCCCUCCCAGUAGCACCACCUCCUCCAUGUUUGAAGAACAGGAAGUUCACCCUGCUAUGGAUGGAGCCAAUGCCAGCCCUGCCGUUCCUGCUGAUUCAGCUACACUGCCUAGCAACCGUUCAGGAGCCGGAUCUGCCCAGCCCUCCUGUCCUCUGAGUGGUACCACACCGCAUCAGACCACUCCGUUGAACAGGACACUGGAACUUGGGCAACAUGGCAGCAGUGGCCCAUGGGACAAGAUGAGGCCUCAGAAAAUGAACGCAUCGGGGAACCCAUGCAUCUUCUCUUUGUACCGUCCAAUUCCAAACCCUCAGUGAUACGCGACAGGGGCCGACCUGCUGGAAAAGAAUCUUGCUGACAUCCAAAGCCUGUGCCAGUGCUUGGAGAAAUCUGUCUGCAUCAACGACUGCCUGCAGGAGAGGCUGGAACACGUGCUUAGUAAUGCUGACCAAGGAAAAUGUAGGAAAGGCCAAAGUCAUUGAUUUCUGUCCACGUCUAGGGAGCCUCAAAAGGGAGUGGGCUCUCAGGGGAGAGCUCAUUGGUGUGCAAUAUUUCAUUUGUUCCUUGCAAUCAGCCUAGAGAGGGAAGUAGAGCAGGUACUAUCGUCCCCCGCUUCAUAAAUGAGGAAACAGAGCUCAGGAGUGAUUCCCUCAAGGAGAGCAAGGUCUCCUUCUCAGGGUUGUCUGACAUCAUGCCCUUUGUUGUAACUCCAUAUAUACUGCCUGGUGAUGCUCCUGGGCUUGUGACCUGAUUGUCCAGUGGUAGACCCAUGGCCUCCAUGGUGCCCACUUCAGCAGAGGGAAGACCACAUCCCAUCCUCAUGCUGCUACUACAUGUGGAUAUCACCUACCACUUCCCUGGGUAUUCCCACACUCUUCUCCAUGGAUGAUCUCACUUGGAAGCCAAUAUCUCCCCAUCCCACUUCCCUUCUCAAGCACAGAAGACUGAUGGCAAGGAUACCUACAACAUCACAGCAGCAGCCAGUUAGGGGGAAAAACCCUGUUCUCCAUUGCAUGGAUAUUGCUUGUGAGAAUGUAGUUUCCUGUGGUGUACCCUGCAAAAACUGAGCCUCAGUCACAUUACACUGUUGUUCCAGUGCACGAGGCCCCCAGAUUUUCUGCUUGGCUGGGAUUGACAUUUUGGUAGGUACAGGAAAGUGUAUCUUUGAAAGCACCUGUUACCCAAAUGUGUGACUUGUCUGGUUAUUUUUAUUCUCUGGGACAGUAUCCAUGGAUAGGACCUGGAGGCCAUACCCCAGUUCUAAAACAAGAAAAAUACUUUCAGGGCAGUAAAUUGGAGUUUUCAGGCUUACGAGGGCAAAUCCCAAGCUGAGGACACUUCCAGAUUCCUUUUAUCUGUGGCAAAAGCAAAGAGAGGAGGGUGGUGAGGACAAAAAUUUCCCAGACCCACACAGUCCAAAAUUAGAAGAGUUAUUCUCAGUCUAGAUUCCCAAUCUGUUUAUGGUCCGACCUACACGUCCCAGACUCGCAGCUCUAGGAGUGAGUAGCUUUGGGAAAUCCACAUUUCAUGUAUAAUCCUCUUCCUCCAUCUUUGGAGAUAACCAGAGGGUCCCUGGCUGUCAACUGGAUACUGGCUUAGUGUCUCACUCCCUGCCUUCCCCACUUCCAUCUGAGUGUGCACUAGGAGGGGAAACGAUGUCAGUUUCUGUUUGCAGCAAUACUACAGUGAAUUCUGUUAGGUCUUUCCAGACUUCACUGCAGCUCUGUCUCUCUUCCAGGUACUCCCCAGUUAGCCCCAGAUGUCCUCCUUGCAACCCCUCAUUCCUACACUCAGAGUCACUCCUCUGGGUCUGAUCAAGAAUUCCUGUGACACAAUGCCUGGAUGGUCUAGCAGAACGUUGUCCAGAGCUUUUCCAGUCCUAUUCAAUAGCAUUCUUGGGUGUGCAACAUCAUUUCCUGUGUGGACUGGGAGACAGCAGACUUGCCUUUAUUUAAAUGGAUCAAAUUAAUAAAUUAUUAUUUAAAAAUUA